Molecule: non-coding RNA, 1712 nt
Organism: Callithrix jacchus (white-tufted-ear marmoset)
Lineage: Eukaryota; Metazoa; Chordata; Mammalia; Primates; Cebidae
Source: RefSeq, a predicted model, not a curated record
AGGUCUGCAGUGGAGCCCAAGGCCAGCUGAGCCCGGUCGUGAGAUCCCAGACAGGAGGAGUAGGGAACCCCUCAGAUGCCCAGACAUGGACCUGGAAAACAAAGUGAAGACGACGGGCUUAGGUCACAAGCAAGGAUUUGGAGCCCCUUGUUUAAAAUGCAAAGAAAAAUGUGAAGGAUUCGAACUGCACUUCUGGAGAAAAAUAUGUUGUAACUGCAAGUGUGGCCAAGAAGAGCAUGAUGUCCUCUUGAGCAAUGAAGAGGAUCGAAAACUGGGAAAAUUUUUUGAAGACACCAAGUAUACCACUCUGAUUGCAAAACUAAAGUCAGGUGGAAUUCCCAUGUAUAAACGCAAUGUUAUGAUAUUGACCAAUCCAGUUGCUGCCAAGAAGAAUGUCUCCAUCAAUACAGUUACCUAUGAGUGGGCUCCUCCUGUCCACAGUCAGGCAUUGGCCACGUAGUACGUGCAGAUGCUACCCAAGGAAAAGCAGCCAGUGGCAGGCUCAGAGGGGGCACAGUACCGGAAGCAGCAGCUGGCAAAGAGCUCCCUGCACAUGAUCAGGACCCUUCAAAGUGCCAUGAAUUGUCUCCCAGAGAGGUGAAGGAGAUGGAACAGUUUGUGAAGUAAUUUAAGAGUGAGGAUCUGGGAGUAGGAGAUGUCAAACUUCCCUGUGAGAUGGAUGCCUGAGGCCCCAAACAAAUGUGCAUUCCUGGAGGGGAUGGAAGCACCCCACCAGCAGCGGGGGCCAUGGAGGACAGAUCUGCUGAGCACAAAAGUAUUCAACAUUCCUGCUAUUGUUGCAAACUGAGUAUGAAGGCAGGCAACCCACCAUCUAUGCCGAAAGGGCCGGCUGUGAUAAACUGUGGCACCCAGCCUCUUUUGUCUGCAGCAUCUGCCAUGAACUCCUGGUUGACAUGAUUUAUUUCUGGAAGAAUGAGAAGCUAUACUGUGGCAGACAUUACUGUUUCAGUGAGAAACCCCGACGUGCUGGCUGUGAUGAGCUGAUAUUCAGCAGUGAGUCUACCCAGGCAGAAAACCAGAAUUGGCACCUGACACACCUCUGCUGCUUUAGCUGGGGAAUUAUACGUGAUGGUCAAGGACAAGCCCGUGUGCAAGCCCUGCUAUGUAAAGAAUCACGCUGCGGUGUGUCAAGGAUCCCACAAUGCCAGCGACCCAGAAGUGCAGUGGGUGACGUAUACCAAUUUCAGCUGGCAUGCAUCCACAGAGUGCUUUCUGUGCUCCUGCUGCAGCACAUGCCUCACUGGGCAGAAGUUCAUGCCAGUAAAAGGGAUGGUUUUCUGUUCAGUAGAAUGUAAGAAGAUGAUGUCUUCGGAGGAGGGCUGUGCAGUGUUCGCGCCAAGGGCUUGAGACAGUUAGCGUGACUCGCCCCAUCUUGGCUGCUGGACCUGUCUGCACUCCCCCCUCUUGAGGGCUGUUGAGCUGAGACAAAGGUCAUGGGCUGAGUCACUGAGGCAAAAACAGAAUACAAAGCAAAGGUCUGCGGUUUAUGAGGACAUUGUGCUGUCUGCUUUCAUGUCCCCAUCAGUCUCUGUGUAAGCGAUAAACUUGCUACAAUUGAGAUGCCUAAGAGGGACAAGAGACCCCUGCCCAUAUUUUCCCUGGAGCUAAGCCUUUGUUCUACCUCCUGAUGGAAAACAGGAUUAACAAGCCACCUUAAGGGCACCAUUGUUUGCUUGCACUGUGUAUCUUUG